ACAACACAAAAAAGGGAAAACACAAUGUUUAUAUUGUUGUGUUUUUUGAUUUGCCAUUGUGUUUUCUCUUUUUGUGUUGU
Molecule: non-coding RNA, 80 nt
Organism: Xyrichtys novacula (pearly razorfish)
Lineage: Eukaryota; Metazoa; Chordata; Actinopteri; Labriformes; Labridae
Source: the annotation of a GenBank genome assembly